This 453-nucleotide ribosomal RNA is filed under the name uncultured bacterium. RNAcentral describes it as "bacterial SSU rRNA". It matches the Rfam family "Bacterial small subunit ribosomal RNA", at positions 340 to 786 of the family's 1533-position model. The record is from RNAcentral.
UACGGAAGGCAGCAGUGGGGAAUAUUGCACAAUGGGCGCAAGCCUGAUGCAGCCAUGCCGCGUGUAUGAAGAAGGCCUUCGGGUUGUAAAGUACUUUCAGUCGUGAGGAAGGUGUUAAGGUUAAUAACCUUAGCAAUUGACGUUAGCGACAGAAGAAGCACCGGCUAACUCCGUGCCAGCAGCCGCGGUAAUACGGAGGGUGCGAGCGUUAAUCGGAAUUACUGGGCGUAAAGGGCACGCAGGCGGUUAAUUAAGUUGGAUGUGAAAUCCCCGGGCUUAACCUGGGAAUGGCAUUCAAGACUGGUUAGCUAGAGUCUUGUAGAGGGGGUAGAAUUCCAUGUGUAGCGGUGAAAUGCGUAGAGAUGUGGAGGAAUCCGGUGGCGAAGGCGGCCCCUGGACAAAGACUGACGCUCAUGUGCGAAAGCGUGGGGAGCAAACGAGGGAUUAGAUACC